UACGAAGGGUGCUAGCGUUGUUCGGAAUCACUGGGCGUAAAGCGCGCGUAGGCGGCUUAACAAGUCAGGGGUGAAAUCCCACGGCUCAACCGUGGAACUGCCUUUGAAACUGUUAAGCUGGAGUGUCGGAGGGGAUAGCGGAAUUGCUAAUGUAGAGGUGAAAUUCGUAGAUAUUAGCAGGAACACCGGUGGCGAAGGCGGCUAUCUGGACGACAACUGACGCUGAGGCGCGAAAGCGUGGGGAUCAAACAGG
This 253-nucleotide ribosomal RNA is filed under the name uncultured bacterium. RNAcentral describes it as "partial 16S ribosomal RNA". It matches the Rfam family "Bacterial small subunit ribosomal RNA", at positions 524 to 776 of the family's 1533-position model. The record is from RNAcentral.